This is a small nuclear RNA of Phocoena sinus (vaquita), 145 nucleotides long. Its record names the gene U2. It matches the Rfam family "U2 spliceosomal RNA". From Rfam's summary of the family: U2 is a small nuclear RNA (snRNA) component of the spliceosome (involved in pre-mRNA splicing). Lineage: Eukaryota; Metazoa; Chordata; Mammalia; Artiodactyla; Phocoenidae. The record is from Ensembl.
AUCACUUCUUGGCCUUUUGGCUAAGAUCAAGUGUUGUAUCUGUUCUUAUCCACUGAAAUAAAGGCAAUCCCAAAAUGAAGGCAGUUUAGGUGACUUGGAAAGGCACAUUCCUCUUAUCUAUGCCAUCCUUGCUUUAAUACCACAU